CAGCAGCCGCGGGAAUACGAAGGGUGCAAGCGUUAAUCGGAAUUACUGGGCGUAAAGCGCGCGCAGGCGGUGUUGUAAGACUGAUGUGAAAUCCCCGGGCUCAACCUGGGAACUGCAUUGGUGACUGCAACGCUGGAGUGCGGCAGAGGGGGAUGGAAUUCCGCGUGUAGCAGUGAAAUGCGUAGAUAUGCGGAGGAACACCGGUGGCGAAGGCGAUCCCCUGGGCCUGCACUGACGCUCAUGCACGAAAGCGUGGGGAGCAAACAGGAUUAGAUACCCGCGUAGUCCCUGUCUCUUAUAC
Molecule: ribosomal RNA, 301 nt
Filed under: uncultured bacterium
Lineage: Bacteria
Description: partial 16S ribosomal RNA
Rfam family: Bacterial small subunit ribosomal RNA
Source: RNAcentral